AACGGAUUUGGCGGCAAGAUAGACCAUUUAGAGGAACCUGCCCUAUAAACGAUGGACCACGAAUACAUUACUUCUAUUAGUAAACAGUUUGUAUACCGCUGUUGUUAGUUAGUUUUAUUAGAAAACUUUCAGUUUUGGCUUACCAUUGACUUCAAGUAAAGGUGCAGCACAUAUAGAAGAAAGAGGUGGGUUACAAUUAAUUGAGUAAAACGGAAAAAAGUAGGAAGAUAUUUUUUGAAGGUGGAUUUAAUAGUAAGAUCUUAAAGGAUUUGAUGGGUGCCCUAUUUUGUGUACACACCGCCCGUC
Molecule: ribosomal RNA, 306 nt
Filed under: Scillaelepas sp. SML-2013
Lineage: Eukaryota; Metazoa; Arthropoda; Thecostraca; Calanticomorpha; Calanticidae
Description: partial 12S ribosomal RNA
Rfam family: Microsporidia small subunit ribosomal RNA
Source: RNAcentral